RNAcentral lists this ribosomal RNA (492 nucleotides) under uncultured bacterium. RNAcentral's name for it is "partial 16S ribosomal RNA". It matches the Rfam family "Bacterial small subunit ribosomal RNA", at positions 29 to 507 of the family's 1533-position model. The record is from RNAcentral.
AGUGAACGCUGGCGGUAGACCUAACACAUGCAAGUCGAACGGCAGCACAGUAAGAGCUUGCUCUUACGGGUGGCGAGUGGCGGACGGGUGAGGAAUACAUCGGAAUCUACUUUUUCGUGGGGGAUAACGUAGGGAAACUUACGCUAAUACUGCAUACGACCUACGGGUGAAAGCAGGGGAUCUUCGGACCUUGCGCGAUUGAAUGAGCCGAUGUCGGAUUAGCUAGUUGGCGGGGUAAAGGCCCACCAAGGCGACGAUCCGUAGCUGGUCUGAGAGGAUGAUCAGCCACACUGGAACUGAGACACGGUCCAGACUCCUACGGGAGGCAGCAGUGGGGAAUAUUGGACAAUGGGCGCAAGCCUGAUCCAGCCAUACCGCGUGGGUGAAGAAGGCCUUCGGGUUGUAAAGCCCUUUUGUUGGGAAAGAAAAGCAGCAGGUUAAUACCCCGCUGUUCUGACGGUACCCAAAGAAUAAGCACCGGCUAACUUCGUG